GUGUCAUUACUAUAGUACGUAUGUAUUAUACUGAUCACACUUGUAUACAUAUCGUAAUGCGCAGAAUCCACCUCAAUCUAAAACUUUCCGAAUCAGAACCUAAUCCUGCUUUCGUCCCGACCAAGUCAUCAACUUUUACCAACCAAGUCGUCAACUCCUAUCAACCAAGUCGUCAACUCAUACUCACCAGAUCGUCCUCAUAAAAAAUAUUAUGGUUGUCUUCAAACACAAGAUUAUUGCAAUAACAAUAUUUGUAUUGGCCUGUGUAAUAAUUUACAGCAUGUAUUUGUACGUUUUUGAAAGAUAUAACACGAAAACAGAUUUGUUUCUACUUGGUAACAUAUUUACUUUUUAAUGAACUUUUAAUGGCGUUUUAAAUUCAUUUGAUCUUGUAUAAAUUUUGUAAUUAUCCACUGUUAUGCUAUAAAAGGGCUUAUGGAAUUGUAGUUAUAUAGUGAAAUCUGUACCUAUUAUAUCAAAAUCAAUCAAAACAAUUUAUUAAUUGAUGGC
Molecule: long non-coding RNA, 510 nt
Organism: Melitaea cinxia (Glanville fritillary)
Lineage: Eukaryota; Metazoa; Arthropoda; Insecta; Lepidoptera; Nymphalidae
Exons: 2
Source: RefSeq, a predicted model, not a curated record